AGAGUUAAACAGUACGUGAAAUUGUUGAAAGGGAAACGAUUGAAGUCAGUCAUGCUAGUAGGGAAUCAACUUGGUGGAGCGAGUUUCUUGUUCUUCAACGAGGAAUCAAUCUUUUGAGCGUGAAUUUCGAUUUGCGUUUUUUUGGUGCAUUUUCUCGUUUGGUAGGUCAGCAUCGGUUUCGAUCGUUACAAAAUGAUCGGAGGAAUGUGGCUUCGAUUUCGGUUGAAGUGUUAUAGUCUCUGGUAGAUGUAACGGUAGAGACCGAGGAUUGCAACGGAUACCCUAACGGGCUAUCCGUCUGAUCUCUGAUACGUUGCUUUGGUAUCGAAAGCUUGCUUACGAUGUUGAAGUGUGCGGUCAAAAGGUUAGAACGGAUUAAAUUCGUUAAGGAUGCUGACGUAAUGGCUUUAAACGA
This 415-nucleotide unclassified non-coding RNA is filed under the name uncultured Glomeromycotina. Its description in RNAcentral is "sequence contains 28S rRNA gene". Lineage: Eukaryota; Fungi; Glomeromycota. The record is from RNAcentral.